Molecule: ribosomal RNA, 1388 nt
Filed under: metagenome
Description: bacterial LSU rRNA
Rfam family: Bacterial large subunit ribosomal RNA
Source: RNAcentral
AUUUGGUUUGGGGCCCUUCCCGGGGUACCCUGCUGAGCCAAACUCCGAAUACCAUUGCGAUUAUCUCGGGAGUCAGUCCGCGAGGGAUAAGCUUCGCGGUCGAGAGGGAAACAACCCAGAUUACCUGCUAAGGUCCCGAAGUCAUACUCAGUCACUAAGGAAGUUGAAUUGCCGAGACAACCAGGAUGUUGGCUUAGAAGCAGCCACCAUUUAAAAAGUGAGUAACAGCUUACUGGUCAAGCAAUUCUGCGCCGAUAAUGAACGGGAGUAAGUAUGACGCCGAAGCAGUAAGUUCAGUGAUCCUGCGGGAGAUCUGAGCGGUAGGAGAGCGCUGUACGUCAGAUACAAGCGGUACCGUAAGGAGCCGUGUCGGGGCGUACAGGUGAUUAUGCCGGAAUGAGUAACGAUAAGACAGGUGAGAAUCCUGUCCGCCGAAAGCCUAAGGUUUCCUGGGGAAGGUAAAUCCGCCCAGGGUUAGCCGGUGCCUUAGUCGAGGCCGAAAGGCGUAGACGAUGGACAGCAGGUCAACAUUCCUGCGCCAGCUAUGUGGACCGAUGGAGGGACAACGCCCGAAAGGUGAGCGGUACGAUUAGAAAUGUCCGUCACCCCUUGCAAGGCGAUUCGUAGGAAAAUCCGCGAGUCAUCAGCCAAGCGUGGGGUGCGAGUGCGUAUAUGUUCACGAAGUCAUUGGAAGGGCGUUCAAGAAAAUCUCCUAAGGGUUGAAGCAUAGCUGACCGUACUAAAACUGACACAGGUAGGUGAGACGAGUAGUCUAAGGCGCUCGGGAGAAUACUGGUUAAGGAACUCUGCAAAAUGGCCCCGUAAGUUCGCGAUAAGGGGUGCCUCUGGCGGUGCAAGCUGCUGGAGGCCACAGUAAAUCGAUUCCUCCAACUGUUUAUCAAAAACACAGGUCUCUGCUAACUCGCAAGAGGAUGUAUAGAGACUGACGCCUGCCCGGUGUCGGUAGGUUAAGGGAGCAGGUUAGCCGUAAGGCGAAGCUCGCGACCGAAGCCCCGAUAAACGGCGGCCGUAACUAUGACGGUCCUAAGGUAGCGAAGUUCCUUGUCGGGUAAGUUCCGACGUGCAUGAAAGGCGUAAUGAGAGGAAGACUGUCUCAACCAGUAACCCGGUGAAAUUGUAGUCGUGGUGAAGAUGCCACGUUCCCGCAGCUAGACGGAAAGACCCCGUGAACCUUGACUGUAGGCUGAUAUUGGGCUCGUGUAUUGACUGUGUAGGAUAGGUGGGAGGCUAUGAACCUUGGGCGCAAGCUCAGGGGGAGCCAUUGGUGAAAUACCACCCUUUUAAUGCAUAAGUUCUAACGCUGAUUCCUGUGAAUCCAGGCAGCGGACAGUGUCAGUUGGGCAGUUUGACUGGGGCGGUCUCCUCCC